UGAAUAACACAAAAGAUUGUUUUAUUGGUUGUGCACUUAUCGUUUUUAUCAAGGAACAAAGAUUCAUUCAUGUCUUUUACAAAAAGGGCAUACAAAAAGAGACGCAGUAGACAAGUCCAAAAGGAAUAUUAAAAAAUACUAGAAUUUUCAUCAGUACAUAUAGAAAAAAAAUCGAAUGUUGAAACUUCUAAAAGAAAUGAUUUCUUAUCUUGCGAAAAUCUAAAAGAAUAUUUUGACCAUCAUGAAUCAUCAUCAAGAAUCAUCGAUUUUGUACAAUGAAUACUCUUAUGACCAAAAGCCUAAUGAGUAUAAGCAUAACCCAACUUUAAAGGAAGGUUUUUCUUUAUGUUUUUCUAACCAAGUAAUGUUGCACUAAACAAGUGGAUUGACAAAGAAUAGCAACAAAUUUAUUGUCCCAAAAAAAACUAUAAUCAUGCGCUGAAAAACAACCUUUUGUCAACAAAAGAAUGGCACAAAUUUCCAUUGAUAAAGUUUAAUAUAACAGAUGGCCAAUAUCUAACUUGUUUUGUGUUUUUUUAAAGGUAACUUAAUUACUUUUUUGUAGCAAAAUGUUUUAUAAUUAGAUUCAUUUUCAUGUUGUGAAGAAUAGAACUUUUUACAUCAGAUGAGAUAUAUGUUAAAGAAAGCAUUAAAAAUAAGAAUAACAAAUCAUACCGCUCUUCAUUGCCAGAACCUCCGCCACCUAUUAUGAAUAAGCCCAAUGCUAAAAGUAUAACACAAAUAUCAUAAUUUUUUCUUAAUGGUUUAUAAACUCAAAUACAUUCUUGUUUAAUUUGAUCUGAAUAAUAUCUAUCUAGCUAUUAGUCUUUUUAUGUAUUUCUAAGGUUUUCCUUUUAUUUUCACUAUUUGGGUGUCCUAUUAUAUGUAAUGUUGUUAAAUUGGUUACAUAUAUUUAUAUCAUUGACAACAUUCUAUUGUAUUAAAUAAUCCUUUAAUCAACUUGAUAUGAAAAUUGAAAAUUGAUUGAAAGCAUGCUGAAAUUGUUUGAAUUCAGAAGUUGAAAGAGUACAAAAUUGGUUGAAAGAUUAAAUUAAGUAACAGUUAUGGUUGAGGGAUUAUUUAUAGUUCUAAUUAUAAUUAUUUCUUUUGAAUAGAGUUAUUAUCAGAUUCAUAAAUUGAAGAUGUUUUUUCUUCACAUUUUAUUGAUGAACACAAUAAAACCAAGCAAAGUUCACAUUGUCAAAGAGUUUCAAGUUUUAAUGAGGAAAUAUCAAGAAUUGCUCUUGAGCCAAGCCCAAAGAAAAAUACACGAAAGUUAUCACUAGGGCUGUGGAGUCUGAGUUGCGGAGUUGAGACAUUUUCAGCGGAGUCAGAGUUGCUAAACAAAAUCGCGACUCCGACUCCAAUAGUAAAACUUCUCGGUAUUGUACGUGCAUGUACAAAACAUUCAAUUAACGUUAUGUUCAUACUAGACCUCAAAGAACGUUUCAUAAAUUUGUCAAAAAAGAAAUUUCUAACUUAUCCCGUAAUAUUUUUAAAAAAAUUUGAAAAAUUUUUCUAAAAUAAUGCUUUGGAGUUGUAAUCGAAGUUGGAGUUGGAGUCGGAGUUGUGCUCAAAAAGUUUCAACAACUGGAGUCGGAGUUGGAGUUGUACUCAAAAAGUUUCAACAACUGGUGUCGGAGUCAUUAAUUUUUUUUUACAACUCCACACCCCUGGUUAUCAGUAACGGUUUCCAAUCUGCCCCUUUUGCCUUUGUCUGAUUCUGCAGAUAAAGUUUUAGAUGAUUUAAAAAGUAGGUUUUCCAAAAUAUUAUGGCAACUUCUGCGAUGGAGUAAUAAAAAAAAUUACAUGUAUUUUUGGAAUUUUAGUUUGAGUUACUCAAGCAUAAUUUGAAUUUUAAAAUUGUUAUUUCAUUGAAGUUUUUAUUUAAAAGAAGUUAUAGAAAUUAAGUUUCAGGCUACUGGGGUGAAGUUGAUAGAAUCAGUGGAUGAAGUGGUUACACAGUGGAUAAUAAACUAAAAGAUAAAACCGAGUAUACUAAUUUGCUUGAUAGUUUGAAAAAGAUUGGUGGCGGAAAGCCAAGAGAACAUGUUUUUUUGAUCAUGAAAAGGUUAUUUUCAAAUCAGUUACAGUCCAAAUUAAAUCGAAAAGGAAAUGGGGAAAAGAUAAACUUAGAAAAUCUAGUAAAUAUAUGGAGUGUUUUACGAGAUAUCGGCGACGUGGAAGAUGUUGACGGCGAUGCAGAAAUAUAGUUUCUUAUGUAUAUUUUUGUGAAAUAAAAUUAAGUAAUUUUAGUUAAAA
Molecule: non-coding RNA, 2262 nt
Organism: Hydra vulgaris (swiftwater hydra)
Lineage: Eukaryota; Metazoa; Cnidaria; Hydrozoa; Anthoathecata; Hydridae
Source: RefSeq, a predicted model, not a curated record